Nymphaea colorata (pocket water lily) is the source of this 826-nucleotide long non-coding RNA. RefSeq lists it as uncharacterized. The record is from RefSeq and is a predicted model, not a curated record. Lineage: Eukaryota; Viridiplantae; Streptophyta; Magnoliopsida; Nymphaeales; Nymphaeaceae. The transcript is spliced from 3 exons.
CGACCUCGACCCCGACCCCAACCCCAACCCCUCGACGCCAUCUCCUUCUCCUCCACCUCCGCCCCCAUCUCCCCUGCCUUUCUCCUCUUCUCUACCCCUGAGCUGACUUUCUCCUCCUCCACCUUCGCCCCCGUCUCCCCUGCCUUUCUCCUCUUAUCUGCCCCCCGAGUUGACUUUCUCCUCUAUCUCCACCCUCGUUUCUGCCCCCGAGCUGCCCUAUUCCUGUUUCUCUCCUUCUCCUCCAUCGCCCAAGCUGCUCUAGCCCUUUCUAUUUCUCUCCUUCUCCUUUAUCUCUGCUGGAGGGCGACUGCCGCAGCAUCGCUUGCAGCUUCUCAGCAAGCGUCCUUGAGCAGAUCCUCAGCAGGGCGUCUUCCAACUGCUCCUAGGCAGCGGCGUUCAAGUAACUAGGGUUAUUGUCCUCGCCCUGUAGCCCCUUCUUGUCUUCCUUGCCCCUCACGCUUCUUCACCCUCCCUCAACCUCUCGCCUCCUUCAAACGUGCAGUGGAUUGAAGCUGCCCUUCGCCCUGCUGAGGAUGCAAUCUGCCUGUUCCACAGAUUAGUGAUGGAGGUGGAGCUCCAUAUGCUAUAGAUGUAGCAAAUGGGCAUCUGGUUUGUGGUUGUGGAGAUAUCAACUACUGCAAGCCAAACAUGACUUUUGGUGUCAGUCGUUCUUCGAGAGCUGCAGAAGGACCCUCUCAAGCCAUCAGUGAAGCUUCACCCUCUUUAAGGGGCAGAAUGCCCCUGCAAUUGUUGUCUCUGUUUCUUAAACUGCAAUGUUUGAUGUCAGUGAUGUACAUUAUGUAAGCAGUAUCUUGUUUUUAAUUUC